GUUUGGUUGCUGCGAACUAUCAAAUAGUCUAAAGCCAUAAUUAAAGCAGUUACUGCUGUUUCUUGUUAGUGGCACAAGGAGUAUAAUUUUGCAUCAAAUUUGUUUAAAUAUGUGUGAUUUGGCCUGUCCCAUACGUAGCGUGUCGCACCAUUGAGAAAUAAAAGCAUGAAUUCUCCUGUACCCUGUUUGUAGUAUUUCUUGUGAGAAUGUUGUUUCUGUUUCGUACAUGAACUGUUGGGUCUUUGAAUCUUUGCGCUC
Molecule: long non-coding RNA, 258 nt
Filed under: Triticum aestivum (bread wheat)
Lineage: Eukaryota; Viridiplantae; Streptophyta; Magnoliopsida; Poales; Poaceae
Description: long non-coding RNA (TAES_LNC023698)
Source: RNAcentral